This 2979-nucleotide ribosomal RNA is filed under the name Triticum aestivum (bread wheat). RNAcentral describes it as "partial small subunit ribosomal RNA". The record is from RNAcentral. Lineage: Eukaryota; Viridiplantae; Streptophyta; Magnoliopsida; Poales; Poaceae.
UCCCCCUCUCCUCCAAAUCUUCCUCGGCAAGACUCCUCGAACUGUCCAACACACGCGCAAUCCUCAAACCCUAGCUCCUCCGAUCCAAACACCUCCUGGUCCCUCGGUCCAUCCGCCAUGGCAUCGCCCGCCGGUGACAGCCACCUCUUCGCCGGCGUCCACUUCCUCCUCAUCGGUUUCGACUGCGUCUCCAUGUCCCAGUACCGGUCGAAGUUGGUGCAGAGCGGCGGCACCGACGCCAUGCAAUUUGGCGGCGGCUGGACCCACAUCGUCGUGCGCGGCCUUGUCAACGUUGACCCGGUCUGCGCGGUGGCGCGGGCGCAAGGGAAUAAGGUUGUCAGCGAGAUGUGGGUGGAUGAUAGCUUGGAUCAGGGUUGCCGAUGCUGAUAAAGUUAUUUAUUGGCCAGCCAGAGAUUUGAAGGGAAUACCUGGUAGUGGCUCACUGCAGAUUUGCUUGACGGGGUACCAAAUGAAGGACCGCAAAGAUAUAAUGUUAACUGCUUGCCAUUUGUAUCCUCAUAUCUCCUAGUCAAAACUCUGAAACAUGGCAACCUUUAGUUAAUUCUUCAAACAUAACAUAUAUAGUGAAGUUUUGGUCACAUUGUGCAGUGAUUUUCUUUGACUUUUAUAAUUUCCAUUCUAAACCUCCCUUUUGCCUUCCUACCAUUAUGGUUGUUUAUCAAUUGCAGACCAAUUUAAGUGAAAGUUUAUAGAGCACGUAACACUGAGCGCAUGUGUUUCAGAAGUGAAUACUGUCCUCUUUCCCCUUCGUCGGGUCAGCUCAGCCCCAAAGAACUGCAUCCCACUUAUGAGUAACUAUAGUAAUGCACAUGUUAUCAUUCUGAUUUCUUUGCAGUAUUCAAGGAGUUCAGUGACUGCUUUAGAUGGUGAAAUUUUUGCCACUACUGAAUUCAUUUAACCGAAGUCCAAAACAUAUAAACCUAUGACUUCUUCUCUGUAGCUGAUAGUUCCUAUUUGUUCUGUACCUAUUAUAUGGGUUUCACAUAUCUAGUCUUGAUGAUAAUUUUGUUCACUUGUCCUUUUGUGGAUGCCUGAGCACCUUCAUUUUGGGAAUUCGUCAGCAGAUACUUGAGAUGUAGUUGAGUUAUUGGAUUUUGUGGUUUACUGGUUAUAUAUCUUGACUUAUAAUGUACUGUGUUCCUUUUCGUUCUUAAUGCUGAAAAUGGCACAAUUCUCCAAACCUUUGUUAGCACCCUCAGUCACUCAUCUUGUUUGCUAUAAAUUUGAAGGUUUGUUGCUUUUAGCAGACAGUCAGUGCCAUAAGUAUGCAUGGAUAGUUCAUUUUCGUUUUGUUGUUUUUCCCUCCACGGUUCUUCAUUGCUGUUUCUUUGUAGUAGUGAGCAUGCAUUUGCAAGCGCUGACAUAAUUUUUUUAUUUCCUACUGUUAUUGGUAGCUCUUUGUUUUAGAUGUGAUGUUAGUUUUGUUGCUAAGAAUUAACUCUAUGGACGAGUGAGAAUUUUAUGCCCAAAUUGGCAUUUUGGCGUCAGUGACAUUUUUUCCUCAUGUUUGUUAUCAGAUUAGGAUUUUGGUGAACUAGUUCGUGUAUAAAAGUCGUAUGAUAUCUUGAGUUUAAAACUUAAAUGAGCAAUAUAUUAAAAAUAAUCUCAGCCACUUGGCUUCACGUUUUAGGCUAGAGGGAACCAAGACGUAAGUGGCAAUGUUGAAGUAAGAAUCUUUGAUGUCAUUUGGUGGUUGAACACAUAGAUGGCAUUUUUUAGUGCGAGUCUUUGCUUUUCUUGUCUUUAUGUGAGACAGAUAAAAAGUUAUCUCAUGAUCAUAGACAGCCUUUGGUAUGAGUGAUGUAAAAAAUGGGAUGUGUUUUUGCUCCUGAUCUUUUACCUUUUUUCCAGUUAUUUUUUGGGCCUUUCUAGUUUGAACUGCUGGUUUCUGAUAAUACAAGUCGGAGAGAAAAUUCUCUUUAUGGAAAGAGAGUGUUGGUGCACAAUGAUGAACAUAUGAGAAGUUGCAAGAUUUGGUAAAAAAUGCGUUGCGUAUCUUGUGAAAAAAUCGUUACUCUUUGCAUAGUCUAGAAAAGCCUCUGGUGAAAAUAGGCUUCUAGGCAACUUAAAAUAAUCCACAACAUGCCUAUAGAAUGUAUGUUUCGGAAAUUCCUAUGUGCGUGUAUAUGUCAUGAUGCUCGAAAGUUUUUGUAUAUGCUCCUUAAAUGCAACAUCACAGUUCUUCAAAUGAACUAGGUGAGAAGUACAAGUGUGCGGAAAGGUUGGGCAUCAAGAUUGUUAAUCACCGGUGGUUGGAGGAUUGCUUAAAGUCAUGGAAAAUCCUACCAGAAGAUGAUUAUAGCGAGAGUGGCUGGGAACUAGAGAUAGUGGAGGCGCAAGCCAAGGAACGCCUCAACUUCCCGAUUCGGGAUCGCCAAGUUCGCAAAUGGGAAGUAUGCCGUGAAUAAAGCAAAGAAAAGAAGCAGCAAGGUGCUCGCCGCAGCCCUGGCACUCCUAAAGCGCGCCCAUCCGGAGGUGGGCACCGACUUCUUGGCGUGCCAUGAUCUUCCUCCCGACAUCCAGGACCAGACCGCCAAGUACGCCAAGGUCGCAAGAGCCUUUGUUGCCUCGUGCUUUAGCAAGCUCGAAGCAGACGAAGCCUGAUGAACAACUUUAAAGAUGGACCUUGUUUGUAGAUACAGCCUGAACUUCUUGUGUUAGAAUAAAGGUUAUGAAAUCUUCAGAGAAAACCGGUGAAAAGAAGUCAAGGGCCGUCACCUGUCGUAGCGUUCUGUCCCUGCCCCUGCCUUUCAUCGGUGAAAUGUAUUCCAGAAAGCUUUCAGAAAUGACCUGGUAUCUUUCGCUCAUUGCAACCGGGAGGCACAAAAAGUGGCGUAACUUAUGAUUCAAAUUCUCCUAUGUAUUGGGAUGGGAUGAUGAUCCUUCUAGUAUUAUCCUAGCUUAUAUUGUGGACAAUGUAACAUUUGAAUUAAUUAAGUGGCUGAAGAUUAAAUGGCA